Coffea arabica (coffee) is the source of this 790-nucleotide non-coding RNA. The record is from RefSeq and is a predicted model, not a curated record. Lineage: Eukaryota; Viridiplantae; Streptophyta; Magnoliopsida; Gentianales; Rubiaceae.
UGCAAGAAAGCGAUGGGGGAUAAAUAGGAGCCGAAAAAAGAAAAAAUACAGAGGAAAAGGAGAGAAAAUUGAGGGAGAAAGGGAAGAAAAAGUGCAGAAAAAUUUUUAGGAAGAACACGAGCCAGGGUUGACUAUUGGGGGUGUUUCGUGGUCAUAUUUCGGUCUAGCCUCUCUGGAGCAGAUGUUGCUUUCUGGGUAAUCUAGAAUGAUCAAGGAAUAAUAUUGGUGUGAAAAGUUUUGGAAAAAACCGCUGCAACAUCUUCAAAUUUGGGCUUGAACUUGCUGCCUUAGUCAUCUUUAAAAUUUCUGCAGCAAAGAUCUUAACUUUCAGAUUUCAGUUUUGAAUCUCACUCUCCUCGGAUUUCCCGUGUUUGUUUGGUAUCUUCUCAUCAAAGCAUAAGUAGGGCAAAUUUCACCCCAUUCAACCACAAUUUCAAGGGAGGUAACUUCUUUUAUUAUUUGAAAUUCUUUUAUGUGCUCCAAUGUGUUUUAUGUGUAAUUGCAUGUUUUGAGUGUUUUUUUCUUUUAAUUAUUCAUUUUUAUUCAUUUUAAGUUUCAUUUAUUUUAUUUCAUUUUUGAUAAUUAUUUGAGAGGCAUUAAAAUGCCAAAUUGUAAUAGAUAGAUGAUCAGGACAUGUAUCUAGCUAGUCUAUGUAAUAGAUAGGUUUUAAUUUUUGCUAAAAAUGUAUUUAGUUAAAUAAAUGUAAUAGUUAGGUUAUUAUUUUUAGAAUUCUCCCUUUAGAUUGUAAUUAGGGCCUCGAAUGCAAUAGUUAGACUCUUAUUUGCGUUUA